UCUCCCCACUGCCCGGCCGGCCCCCAUCCCGCCAGCCCUCCCCCGUCCCCAGCCGUUAACCCCCUCGUGCCGGGCAGCAGCACCUGCUCCCCCAGGUGCAGGUGGUUCAGGGGAGCGAGCCCCACCCCAGAGCUUUCUGUAGCGUCCAGGCUGGCCUGUGGCAUGGCUCUGGGGGCCAGUGGGUUGUCGCCGUGUCCCUGGCAGGGCUGGGGCAGGCAGGUGGGAGCAGGGAUGCCCCCUCAUGCGACCCUCGGAGGCCUGGGGCCCAUGGAGCCUGGGACCUGUGUGCUGUACUGGCUCCCACCCACUUGCCGCAGCCCGGGGGCCUGAUGGCCCUGCCCUGGGCAGAUAGCUGUGGUGGGGGUAAGGAGUGCCAUAUUCGCUCCUGCCCGCCUGCACCCCCAGCCCCGUGCUUUCCUAACAGAGUGAGGAGGGCUCUGCCGCUCUGGCUUCCAGACGCAGCCUUGGCCUCCCCAGUGACCUCAGCCACUGCCCCUCCCCCAGAGUCUCUUCUAGGAAUGCCUGGCAGGGCCACUGGCCACUUAGUGUUUGCUGUCCCCGUGCUGUGCCCCGGCCAAGAGUGAGGGCAGCCUGGCUCCGGGCGUGGCCUCUGGCGGCCCCUCGCUGCCCUCCAAGGCUCCGGCAAGGGCCCUGCUGCACCCUGUGGUCACCUGUCCCACGCAUGAGGCUGGAGCGGGUCCUGGUGCCUGGCCAGAGGUCACCACAGGUCGUUUUCAGCUCUUCUUCUGAGAAUUAUAGAUCCACGGGGGAAAGUCCACACCCUGGCGGCAGGGCCGUGUACACAGCAAAGUGCAGCCUCAGCAGGCCGGGCCUCCGGCUCGGGAGGGCCCCUCCCGGCGUGGGCGGAGACUGGGCUGCGGCCAGGACCUGCCCUCAGGACCCCCAGGUAGGCUGUGGGUCCCCCUCCGGACAGGGCCCUGUGGGGGGGCUCCCCAGACAAGCGUCUGGCAUCUCAGAGUGUGAUGCAGGGGGCUCUGGGUCUGGUCUCCUGUGGCGUGGCCCCCUUGGCUGCGAGGGUUGGGGCAAGGGUGUUGCGUGUAGGCGCGGGGCUGGUGCGGUUCCGGGAGGUUAUGGGGGGCUGUCCCAUCCCAGGACCCGAGGUGGAGGCAUGACAGCUUCGGUUCCUGGGGAGACAGCAGAUGUCCCAGCACGGGCCCUUGGUGCGUGUGGCCUGGUCGUGGUUCAGGCCGUGUGGGCGGCACCGUGUUCUCCGGUGUCCCCUGAGCGUCACAUUGAGCCGGCUUCCUCAAGCGCCAGCCGGAAGGACGGGCAGCGCCACGGUUUGCAGUUUCUUCCCUCGCCUUUGUCACACGCUACCUCCGGGUCCUGUGGGCACGGACGCCCCCUCCCGUCUGCGGCUCCGCGGGCUGUGUGGGCGACGACCUGCCUGGAUGGCUCCCCAGGGCGCUGGGCACACUCGGGGCCACUUGAGAGACUGCUGGGGAGUGUGGGCAGCAGCUGGGGCCAGCCCCGCGCCUGCCGAGGGCACCCCGGCCGUGCCGUGCCGUGCCGAGUGUGCACGUCUGGGACGACUGCUGGGCUCUUGCACCUGUGUUCCAGGUCCUUUCCUGGGGUUCCACAUUUUGCGUGACGGCACCGUGGAGGUGGCUGCGCCGGCCGGGCCUAAGCCAGGAGCCUCUGGUUCUCACGCGGGUGCAGGGACCCAAGCGCUGGAGCAGCGGGUUACGGACGUGCCCACCCGGAUGCCAGCGCUGCAGGCAGCCGCCCAACCAGGCAGAGUGGACAGUGAGAGAGAGACAGAAAGGUCUUCCUUUGCCGUUGGUUCACCCUCCAAUGGCCGCUGCGGCCGGCGCACUGCGCUGAUCCAAAGCCAGGAGCCAGGUGCCUCCUCCUGGUCUCCCAUGCGGGUGCAGGGCCCAAGCACUGGGGCCAUCCUCCACUGCACUCCCGGGCCACAGCAGAGAGCUGGCCUGGAAGAGGAGCAACCAGGACAGAAUUCGGCGCCCCGACCGGGACUAGAACCCCGGGGUGCCGGCGCCACUAGGUGGAGGAUUAGCCUGUUGAGCCACAGCACCGGCCCUCAUAAAAUUUUGAAAAGGCCAAAUUUUAACACAAAUACAACUCACAUACCAAAGAUGACAAACACUACGCCUACUUCAGCCUGAAGAUAGCAGAGAUGACAAAGCAGGUCCUGUGGGGGGCGUGCGGGGGGCCGAGCAGACCCAGAGCAGCUCCAGAGCAAGAGACCGGCACCGGGCCCCUGCCACCCCCAGGGGACUCCUGGCUUUGGCCUGGCUCCCCACCGCCCCACCACCACCACCUAGGGAUCGACCAGCAGAUGGAAGUGCCCCCCUCCCCGUAACUCAAAUAAAUACUUUUUUAAAAAGGUUAACCUACAGUGGGUAAAGCUGCCGCCUGCAGCGCCAGCAUCCCAUGUGGGCGCCAGUUAGAGUCCCGGCUGCUCCACUUCCCAUCCAGCUCUCUGCUGUGGCCUGGGAAAGCAGCAGAGGAUGGCCCGAGUCCUUGGGCCCUGCACCUGGCUUUCGGUCGGCGCAGUUCUGGUUGUUGCAGCCAUCUGCGGAGUGAACCAGCGGAUGGAGACCGACCUUCCUCUCUCUCCAUCUCUCCUUCUCCCUCUUUGUAACUCUGAACUUCAAAUAAAUAAAUCUUAAAAAAAAAAAGGUUAACUAUAAAACUUCAAGGAAAACACAGGAGAAAAUGUUUUUACCUUGGAUAAGCAAAGAUUUCACAGACCAUCUACAAAAAAACUAACAUACUUGACGUCUUCAAAAUUAGAAAUAUUUGGGGGCUGACACUGGCACCGCAGGCUCAGGCCUCCACACUGCAGCUCCACUUCCGGCCCAGCUCCCAGGGAACACCCCCGGGAGGCAGCACACGAUGGCCCACGUGGCUGGGCCCCUGCCACCCGUGUGGGAGGCCAGGAUGGAGCUCCUGGACCCCACUAGGCCCUGGCCCAGCCUUUGUGGGCAUCUGCACAGGAUGUGGGGAGGCCCUCUCUCUCUGCCUCUCAAAUUUGUUGACAGGCAGAGUGGACAGUGAGAGAGACAGAGAGAAAGGUCUUCCUUUGCCAUUGGUUCACCCUCCAAUGGCCGCUGCGGCCGGCGCACCGCGCUGAUCCGAAGCCAGGAGCCAGGUGCUUCUCCUGGUCUCCCAUGGGGUGCAGGGCCCAAGCACUUGGGCCAUCCUCCACUGCCUUCCCGGGCCACAGCAGAGAGCUGGCCUGGAAGAGGGGCAACCGGGACAGGAUCCGGCGCCCCGACUGGGACUAGAACCCAGUGGAUUCUAGAGGAGGAUUAGACUAGUGAGCCGCAGCGCCAGCCUUCUGCCUCUCAAUUUUAAAAAUGUAUUUCUAAGAAAAUAACUACAAACCAACACUCCCAAUGAACAAACUAGAAACACAAUAUAUAAGAAGACUGCUACAUGAUGACUAAGGUUUAUCCAGAGAGCAAAGUCGAUUUCACAUUUAACACUGACCCAUGUAUUUGACGAACUCGACACCCACUCGCUGUAAACGCUCCGGAAUGCAGGAACAGGUGUGCCGCCUCCCCCUCACCUCUCCAGGCCCCUGCACCUGCGUGAGACCGGAAGAAGCUCCUGGCUCCUGGCUUCAGAUCGGCCCAGCUCUGGCCAUUGUGGCCAUCUGGGGAGCGAACCAGCAGAAGGAAGACCUCUCUCUCUGUCUCUACCUCUCUCUGCAACUCUGUCUCUCAAAUAAAUAAAAUCUUUAAAAAACAUUUUAAAAAGUGAUCCAACUACUGGGAGG
This is an RNA transcript of Lepus europaeus (European hare), 3766 nucleotides long. RefSeq lists it as uncharacterized. Lineage: Eukaryota; Metazoa; Chordata; Mammalia; Lagomorpha; Leporidae. The transcript has 4 exons. The record is from RefSeq and is a predicted model, not a curated record.